CCUACGGGAGGCAGCAGUGAGGAAUAUUGGUCAAUGGUCGUAAGGCUGAACCAGCCAAGUCGCGUGAAGGAAGAAGGAACUAUGGUUUGUAAACUUCUUUUAUCGGGGAAUAAAGGUAUCCACGUGUGGAUAUUUGCAUGUACCUUAUGAAUAAGCAUCGGCUAACUCCGUGCCAGCAGCCGCGGUAAUACGGAGGAUGCGAGCGUUAUCCGGAUUUAUUUGGUUUAAAGGGUGCGUAGGUUGUUUUUUAAGUCAGCGGUGAAAGUCUGUGGCUCAACCAUAAAAUUGCCGUUGAAACUGGAAGUCUUGAGUGUGUGUGAGGUAGGCGGAAUGCGUGGUGUAGCGGUGAAAUGCAUAGAUAUCACGCAGAACUCCGAUUGCGAAGGCAGCAUACUAAGCCAUAACUGACGCUGAAGCACGAAAGCGUGGGGAUCAAACAGGAUUAGAUACCCUUGUAGUC
Molecule: ribosomal RNA, 460 nt
Filed under: uncultured bacterium
Lineage: Bacteria
Description: partial 16S ribosomal RNA
Rfam family: Bacterial small subunit ribosomal RNA
Source: RNAcentral